This 253-nucleotide ribosomal RNA is filed under the name uncultured bacterium. RNAcentral describes it as "partial 16S ribosomal RNA". It matches the Rfam family "Bacterial small subunit ribosomal RNA", at positions 524 to 776 of the family's 1533-position model. The record is from RNAcentral.
CACGAACCGUACGAACGUUAUUCGGAAUUACUGGGCUUAAAGGGUGCGUAGGCGGCCCAGAAAGUUGGGUGUGAAAGCCCUCGGCUUAACCGAGGAAUUGCGCUCAAAACUACUGGGCUCGAGGAAGGCAGAGGUGAGCGGAACUACGGGUGGAGCGGUGAAAUGCGUUGAUAUCCGUAGGAACACCAGGGGCGAAAGCGGCUCACUGGGCCUUUUCUGACGCUGAGGCACGAAAGCCAGGGGAGCGAACGGG